This 407-nucleotide ribosomal RNA is filed under the name uncultured bacterium. RNAcentral describes it as "partial 16S ribosomal RNA". It matches the Rfam family "Bacterial small subunit ribosomal RNA", at positions 30 to 526 of the family's 1533-position model. The record is from RNAcentral.
AUUGAACGCUAGCGGGAUGCCUUACACAUGCAAGUCGAACGGAGUGGCGAACGAGUGGGUGAUGUAUCGGAACGUGCCCAGUAGCGGGGGAUGACUACACGAAAGGGUAGCUAAUCCCGCAUACUAUUGGAGCGGCCGAUAGAGUAUUGGCUGGUUGGUGGGGUAACGGCUCACAAAGGCGACGAUCCGUAGCUGGUUUGAGAGGACGACCAGCCAAACUGGGACUGAGACACGGCCCAGACUCCUACGGGAGGCAGCAGUGGGGAAUUUUGGACAAUGGGGGAAACCCUGAUGCAGCCAUCCCGCGGGUGUGAUGAAGGCCUUCGGGUUGUAAAGCACUUUCGGCAGGAAAGCGGUACCUGCAGAAUAAGCACCGGCUAACUACGUGCCAGCAGCCGCGGUAAUAC